This 295-nucleotide ribosomal RNA is filed under the name Akashiwo sanguinea. RNAcentral describes it as "partial Eukaryotic large subunit ribosomal RNA". The record is from RNAcentral. Lineage: Eukaryota; Dinophyceae; Gymnodiniales; Gymnodiniaceae.
GUCUGUCAUUCGUCCCGUAAUGGAAUAACCUCCAGCCACACCGUUUGCUCCGAAGUACGAACCGAUGCUGACGCUACGCACGGCCACAGCGCCCCCACCGCAAGCAGCAGGAGAAAUAUGACACGCACAACGCACUGGUUUCCUUUGCUUCCCUUUCAGCAAUUUCAGGUACUCUUUAACUCUCUUUUCAAAGUUCUUUGCAUCUUUCCCUCACGGUACUUGUGCGCUAUCGGUCUCCCACCAAUAUUUAGCUUUAGAUGGAAUUUACCACCCACUUUGAGCUGCAAUCCCAAGC